Molecule: ribosomal RNA, 494 nt
Filed under: uncultured bacterium
Lineage: Bacteria
Description: partial 16S ribosomal RNA
Rfam family: Bacterial small subunit ribosomal RNA
Source: RNAcentral
GACGAACGCUGGCGGCGCGCUUAACACAUGCAAGUCGAACGGAAAGGCCUGCUUUCCCUUGUGGAUUGCGGGUACUCGAGUGGCGAACGGGUGAGUAACACGUGAGUGAUCUGCCCCCAACUUGGGUAUAAGCCUGGGAAACUGGGUCUAAUUCCCGAUAGGACUGCAGGGUGGUGCCUGUGGUGGAAAACGAUUUUCUAGUGGUUGGGGAUGAGCUCGCGGCCUAUCAGCUUGUUGGUGGGGUAAUGGCCUACCAAGGCGGCGACGGGUAGCCGGCCUGGGAGGGUGGACGGCCACAUUGGGACUGAGAUACGGCCCAGACGCCUACGGGAGGCAGCAGUGGGGAAUAUUGCACAAUGGGCGGAAGCCUGAUGCAGCGACGCCGCGUGGGGGAUGACGGCCUUCGGGUUGUAAACUCCUUUCGACCGCGAGGAAGCCACCUGGUUGGAAGGGUGGUGACGGUAGUGGUAGAAGAAGCACCGGCUAACUACGUG